GCUGGGCAUGGUGGUGCAUGCCUGAAAUCCCAGUUACUCGGGAGGCUGAGGCAGGAGAAUUGCUUGAACCUAGGAGGUGGAGGUUGCAGUGAGUCCAGAUGGCGCCACUGCACUCCAGCCUGGGUGACAAUGCAAGACCCUGUCUCAA
This 148-nucleotide non-coding RNA is filed under the name Chlorocebus sabaeus (green monkey). Lineage: Eukaryota; Metazoa; Chordata; Mammalia; Primates; Cercopithecidae. The record is from Rfam by way of RNAcentral.